RNAcentral lists this ribosomal RNA (488 nucleotides) under Shigella sonnei. RNAcentral describes it as "bacterial SSU rRNA". It matches the Rfam family "Bacterial small subunit ribosomal RNA", at positions 27 to 504 of the family's 1533-position model. Lineage: Bacteria; Pseudomonadati; Pseudomonadota; Gammaproteobacteria; Enterobacterales; Enterobacteriaceae. The record is from RNAcentral.
GAUUGAACGCUGGCGGCAGGCCUAACACAUGCAAGUCGAACGGUAACAGGAARCAGCUUGCUGYUUCGCUGACGAGUGGCGGACGGGUGAGUAAUGUCUGGGAAACUGCCUGAUGGAGGGGGAUAACUACUGGAAACGGUAGCUAAUACCGCAUAACGUCGCAAGACCAAAGAGGGGGACCUUCGGGCCUCUUGCCAUCGGAUGUGCCCAGAUGGGAUUAGCUAGUAGGUGGGGUAACGGCUCACCUAGGCGACGAUCCCUAGCUGGUCUGAGAGGAUGACCAGCCACACUGGAACUGAGACACGGUCCAGACUCCUACGGGAGGCAGCAGUGGGGAAUAUUGCACAAUGGGCGCAAGCCUGAUGCAGCCAUGCCGCGUGUAUGAAGAAGGCCUUCGGGUUGUAAAGUACUUUCAGCGGGGAGGAAGGGAGUAAAGUUAAUACCUUUGCUCAUUGACGUUACCCGCAGAAGAAGCACCGGCUAACUCC